GACGGAGGGCGCAAGCGUUGUUCGGAAUUACUGGGCGUAAAGAGCGCGCAGGCAGGAAGGUAAGUCUGGAGUGAAAUUCCGGGGCUCAACUCCGGAGCUGCUUUGGAUACUGUCUUUCUAGGGACCGGUAGAGGCCGGUGGAAUUCCCGGUGUAGCGGUGGAAUGCGUAGAGAUCGGGAAGAACACCCGUGGCGAAGGCGGCCGGCUGGGCAGUAGCUGACGCUGAGGCGCGACAGCGUGGGGAGCAAACAGG
RNAcentral lists this ribosomal RNA (253 nucleotides) under uncultured bacterium. RNAcentral's name for it is "partial 16S ribosomal RNA". It matches the Rfam family "Bacterial small subunit ribosomal RNA", at positions 524 to 776 of the family's 1533-position model. The record is from RNAcentral.